UUGACCUCGGAUCAGGUAGGGAUACCCGCUGAACUUAAGCAUAUCAAUAGGC
Molecule: ribosomal RNA, 52 nt
Filed under: Aspergillus oryzae
Lineage: Eukaryota; Fungi; Ascomycota; Eurotiomycetes; Eurotiales; Aspergillaceae
Also listed under: 2 other names
Description: partial 28S ribosomal RNA
Source: RNAcentral